Molecule: long non-coding RNA, 294 nt
Organism: Olea europaea var. sylvestris
Lineage: Eukaryota; Viridiplantae; Streptophyta; Magnoliopsida; Lamiales; Oleaceae
Exons: 2
Source: RefSeq, a predicted model, not a curated record
GGAAAUUACUUACUUGGAUGUAGAGUUAAGGGUAUCGAGAGGUGAUAAGGGUAACCUGUUUAUUCUCAAAAUGGUGGAUCCUUUGUAUGAAAUACCUUCCUAAUGCAUUAUACGAAAACAACUCAAGUACAGGAUUUGCUUUUUGUGACUGCAGAAACAAUUAUACUAGUAAACUUUCAGCUACAUCUUUUUUUUUUUUUUUUUUUUUUUUCCAACUCCUAAUCUAGCCUUUUCUAGCUAGCAAACUAUAUGCACUGUGGAUCAUAAUAAGAAUUAUUUUUUUCACACUUUUUA